AUACGGAGGGUGCAAGCGUUGUCCGGAUUUAUUGGGUUUAAAGGGUGCGUAGGCGGUUGCCUAAGUCAGUGGUGAAAUACUACAGCUCAACUGUAGGGGUGCCAUUGAAACUGAGUGACUUGAGUACAGAUGAGGUAGGCGGAAUUUAUGGUGUAGCGGUGAAAUGCAUAGAUACCAUAAAGAACACCGAUAGCGAAGGCAGCUUACUAGGCUGUAACUGACGCUGAGGCACGAAAGCAUGGGUAGCGAACAGGAUUAGAUACCCCAGUAGUCC
Molecule: ribosomal RNA, 274 nt
Filed under: uncultured bacterium
Lineage: Bacteria
Description: partial 16S ribosomal RNA
Rfam family: Bacterial small subunit ribosomal RNA
Source: RNAcentral